GAUGAACGCUGGCGGCGUGCCUAAUACAUGCGAGUCGAGCGAACGGACGAGAAGCUUGCUUUUCUGAUGUUAGCGGCGGACGGGUGAGUAACACGUGGAUAACCUACCUAUAAGACUGGGAUAACUUCGGGAAACCGGAGCUAAUACCGGAUAAUAUUUUGAACCGCAUGGUUCAAAAGUGAAAGACGGUCUUGCUGUCACUUAUAGAUGGAUCCGCGCUGCAUUAGCUAGUUGGUAAGGUAACGGCUUACCAAGGCAACGAUGCAUAGCCGACCUGAGAGGGUGUUCGGCCACACUGGAACUGAGACACGGUCCAGACUCCUACGGGAGGCAGCAGUAGGGAAUCUUCCGCAAUGGGCGAAAGCCUGCCGGAGCAACGCCGCGUGAGUGAUGAAGGUCUUCGGAUCGUAAAACUCUGUUAUUAGGGAAGAACAUAUGUGUAAGUAACUGUGCACAUCUUGACGGUACCUAAUCAGAAAGCCACGGCUAACUACGUG
This 497-nucleotide ribosomal RNA is filed under the name uncultured bacterium. RNAcentral describes it as "partial 16S ribosomal RNA". It matches the Rfam family "Bacterial small subunit ribosomal RNA", at positions 28 to 507 of the family's 1533-position model. The record is from RNAcentral.